Quercus lobata is the source of this 635-nucleotide long non-coding RNA. RefSeq lists it as uncharacterized. The transcript is spliced from 2 exons. The record is from RefSeq and is a predicted model, not a curated record. NCBI's taxonomy places the organism in Eukaryota, Viridiplantae, Streptophyta, Magnoliopsida, Fagales, Fagaceae.
UUUCUUUUCUUCUCUCUAAGUUUCAUGCCUCUCUCUUACCUCUUCACCAUCUCUCUCUUCAUCACCCCCAUUCUUUCUCCCAACUAUAGCCAACCACCACAUCCACUCACCGGCGACGUAGUUGGGCGGCGGCUAUGGCUUUCAAUAUGCCCUCUCCGAUUUCCUCAGUGAUGAGGGUUUGUGGGUGGCCGUUGGUUUUUUUUUUUUUUCCUCUCCGAUCUAUGGAUUUCAGGGGCCGUGGGUGGGUUUGUGUCGAUCUCGUGGUGAUUGCUUGGAUUUGAUGGGGAGUACGAUUAUUAAUCGGCGAUUUUGCAGUUGGAAAUCUAAAUUUCUAUCCCGAUCUACUAGGAAUGAGAUCUGCCUACUCCAGAUGGAGGAAGUGCUGCAUCUGAGGAUGGGAAUACAUUGGAAGUGCUGCAUCUGAGGAUGGGACUACCAAUGUAUGAGACGCUGCUGUUGGCUCUUUACUCUUGUGAGAACUACUAAUUGUUAUUCGGAUACCUACAUAGGUAAUGAGUACUUUUCUGUUGUUUUCCAAAAUAAAGUCUGGUGAAAAUGUUUUGUUGUUAGCUAAAGGAACAAACUAUAAUUAUAAUGCAAUUGAGAUUUAUGAAGCUUCAGUUUCUGCUGUUCCA